AUGAAUUCGCCUCAAGAAGAUAAAACAUUUGAACAUAAACAAGUGAUUGAAAUUUCCGCUAGUGGAAGUGAAACAACAGAUAGUCUCUGCACCCCCUGCAAACGUGAGAUGUCUGGGGCGGUUGAAGACAAAGAAGAAGGUAACAACGAACAUCCUGACGACGUCCUUGAUGACUUGCUGGAGGCUUCAAAGUCCUUGUCUCAAGUCAGUAUUCAAGACAAUGACAUUGACUUCCAAAUUGACCAGGAAACACUGUACGACCUGGAGAAUAAAGCACAUUUGAGUAGACCAAAGGAUUCGAAAAAAUCUUCUCAAGAGCUGGCGACUGCUGAACAGAUCAACGAAUAUUCUUCUUUAGAGAAGAGCAACGAUCUUGCAGCCGCGAAGGUUGAUAAUACUGUCUCAUCGGCCAUCGACGAUGUAUCGAGUGAUGAGUCUGAUUUCUACCUAAGACUUUCUUCUCUUCAUCAAAAUACUGUUCCUCAACCAUCAACGAUAGCUCCACAAGAGCCCCAGGUCUCAACAGAUGAAGAGGAACCGCCCCAGAAACGUCUGAAGUUGCCUGAGGAAGUUUCGUCAGAAAAAACCACGGAGGUUGAUGAUAACACCGAUGAUUGGGACACCGACUUUCCUCCAGAGGCAGAACUACAGAAGAUUGAUGACACAGUUCGAGCGUUGACCCACAAUAACCUCGAGGAAUCGUUACUGAAGAGAGGGAAAGAGUCUUGCCAACUGCCUGAAGUCAACUACGAGGAAAUUACAGAAAAAAUUAUCAGCAGAAAGAGAGAAUUCAUGAAUUUGGUCGAUAACGUCUAUGAGGCGAGUUGCUAUCUUGGUAGAAUUAAGGAAAUCCUUGCAACAGCUCCUCCGUCAGGUCCAGUAACAAUUCCCCCUCCGCCAAAACCCAGUGGAUAUGAGCAGCAAUUUGAUUUUCCUGAUCGCAGCCGAUUUCCAAAAUUGCCGAUUACGGUCGCAUCUUCGGGGAGUUUUAGGAAUAAUGAGUUGAAGGAGAACCACCUCCCAAAGUCACAAUUAAAUGCUUCAUCUACUCUGGGAAAAUCCAGGAGAUCAACUCGCAGGAUAGGACCAAUCAAUAGCACCACAAUCUUGAAGCCCUUAUCAGCAAAAUCUAUGAAGAACAGAAUUGAAGUUGCUCUGCCCAAUAGAUUCAAGAAACAGCCAACUAUUGAAGAGAUGUUUGGAACUGGUAAUAAGGAGAAUGAAAAAACAGCUCGAGAAUCAGGAAAGUCGACUGAGAGCUUUGAGAAAGACACUAUCAGUGACAGUGGCUCCAUGUACAAUUUUAAUCCCCUCGUUCGUGCGAGAAAGCCAACGAAAUAAUUUCACCAUCAGAAUUGAAAUUCUUCAUUGCAAUUUAUUCCUUAUGCGUUUUAUUCAGGAUUUAAUUGUCCUCGAAAAGCUACAAAAUAAAGUGAUGAUAUCUCAUGUAAAUACCUUUCGUGAUGAUUCGUUGAAUAUCACUCACAUUAAUAGGAUACUGGUCAAGUUGGAAGUUACAAUGUUUCCCUGAGAAUCGCUGCAAAUUACCCGUAUUAUCUUAUAACAUCCAAGACUAAAAUAAACGCGGGCAAAAAUGGCCUCCACGCCAUGUGAC
Diachasmimorpha longicaudata is the source of this 1615-nucleotide RNA transcript. RefSeq lists it as uncharacterized. The transcript is spliced from 4 exons. Lineage: Eukaryota; Metazoa; Arthropoda; Insecta; Hymenoptera; Braconidae. The record is from RefSeq and is a predicted model, not a curated record.